Molecule: ribosomal RNA, 497 nt
Filed under: uncultured bacterium
Lineage: Bacteria
Description: partial 16S ribosomal RNA
Rfam family: Bacterial small subunit ribosomal RNA
Source: RNAcentral
GAUGAACGCUGGCGGCGUGCCUAAUACAUGCAAGUCGAGCGAACAGACGAGGAGCUUGCUCCUCUGACGUUAGCGGCGGACGGGUGAGUAACACGUGGAUAACCUACCUAUAAGACUGGGAUAACUUCGGGAAACCGGAGCUAAUACCGGAUAAUAUAUUGAACCGCAUGGUUCAAUAGUGAAAGACGGUUUUGCUGUCACUUAUAGAUGGAUCCGCGCCGCAUUAGCUAGUUGGUAAGGUAACGGCUUACCACGGCAACGAUGCGUAGCCGACCUGAGAGGGUGAUCGGCCACACGGGAACUGGGACAGGGUCCAGACUCCUACGGGAGGCAGCAGUAGGGAAUCUUCCGCAAUGGGCGAAAGCUUGACGGAGCAACACCGCGUGAGUGAUGAAGGUCUUCGGAUCGUAAAACUCUGUUAUUAGGGAAGAACAAAUGUGUAAGUAACUAUGCACGUCUUGACGGUACCUAAUCAGAAAGCCACGGCUAACUACGUG